RNAcentral lists this ribosomal RNA (253 nucleotides) under uncultured bacterium. Its description in RNAcentral is "partial 16S ribosomal RNA". It matches the Rfam family "Bacterial small subunit ribosomal RNA", at positions 524 to 776 of the family's 1533-position model. The record is from RNAcentral.
UACGUAGGACCCACGCGUUUUCCGGAUUCACUGGGUAUAAAGGGUGCGUAGGCGGUCUUGUGCGUCAGAGGUGAAAUAUCCGGGCUCAACCCGGAGGGUGCCUUUGAUACGGCAGGACUUGAGUGCGAGAGAGGAUGAUGGAAUUCCUGGUGUAGCGGUGAAAUGCGUAGAUAUCAGGAGGAACACCGGUGGCGAAGGCUGUCAUCUGGCUCGAAACUGACGCUGAGGCACGAAAGCGUGUGGAUCAAACAGG